RNAcentral lists this ribosomal RNA (450 nucleotides) under uncultured bacterium. RNAcentral's name for it is "partial 16S ribosomal RNA". It matches the Rfam family "Bacterial small subunit ribosomal RNA", at positions 354 to 796 of the family's 1533-position model. The record is from RNAcentral.
GUGGGGAAUCUUCCGCAAUGGACGAAAGUCUGACGGAGCAACGCCGCGUGAGUGAAGAAGGUUUUCGGAUCGUAAAGCUCUUUCGUUAGGGACGAACGUGCUCUUUGUGAAUAAUGAGGAGUAAUGACGGUACCUAAAUAAGAAGCCACGGCUAACUACGUGCCAGCAGCCGCGGUACUACGUAGGUGGCAAGCGGUGUCCGGAAUUAUUGGGCGUAAAGCGCGCGCAGGCGGGAUAUCAAGUCUGUCUUAAAAGUGCGAGGCUCAACCUCGUGAGGGGACAGAAACUGGUAUUCUUGAGUGUCGGAGAGGAAAGUGGAAUUCCAAGUGUAGCGGUGAAAUGCGUAGAGAUUUGGAAGAACACCAGUGGCGAAGGCGACUUUCUGGACGAUGUCUGACGCUGAGGCGCGAAAGCUAGGGGAGCGAACGGGAUUAGAAACCCCUGUAGUCC